This 234-nucleotide long non-coding RNA is filed under the name Vitis vinifera (wine grape). Its description in RNAcentral is "long non-coding RNA (VVIN_LNC000263)". Lineage: Eukaryota; Viridiplantae; Streptophyta; Magnoliopsida; Vitales; Vitaceae. The record is from RNAcentral.
GAAAAUGCAAGCAAUAAUGCUUUUCUUUGAUAAGUAAUAUUCCUCACCCAUUACAAGCCUAAAACUUAGCUUGGGAAUGAUGAAAAUGAAAAGUUUUCCCCCAAACACCUUGUGGGCUAAAUCUGGCAUCGCCAUUUCCACUUAAAUUUUUGUUUGAUUGAACUCUGGAUAUGUUGUAUGAUAUCAAACUCGAGAGUUAGCCCUUCUCCCUAUCUAUGAGCAGGUGAAAUCCCA